GUAGGUGGCAAGCGUUGUCCGGAUUUAUUGGGUUUAAAGGGUGCGUAGGCGGCCCUGUAAGUCAGUGGUGAAAUACGGCAGCUCAACUGUCGAGGUGCCAUUGAUACUGCGGGGCUUGAGUGUUGAUGAGGUAGGCGGAAUUGACGGUGUAGCGGUGAAAUGCUUAGAUAUCGUCAAGAGCACCGAUAGCGAAGGCAGCUUACCAAGCAAUAACUGACGCUGAGGCACGAAAGUGCGGGGAUCAAACAGGAUUAGAUACCCUGGUAGUCCGCACAGUAAACGAUGAUUACUCGAUGUUGGCGAUACACAGCCAGCGUCUUAGCGAAAGCGAUAAGUAAUCCACCUGGGGAGUACGCCCGCAAGGGUG
RNAcentral lists this ribosomal RNA (367 nucleotides) under uncultured bacterium. Its description in RNAcentral is "bacterial SSU rRNA". It matches the Rfam family "Bacterial small subunit ribosomal RNA", at positions 527 to 896 of the family's 1533-position model. The record is from RNAcentral.